UACGAAGGGAGCUAGCGUUGUUCGGAAUCACUGGGCGUAAAGCGCACGCAGGCGGAUGUGUCAGUCAGGGGUGAAAUCCCGGAGCUCAACUUCGGAACUGCCUUUGAUACAGCACAUCUGGAGUCCGGAAGAGGUGGGUGGAAUUCCUAGUGUAGAGGUGAAAUUCGUAGAUAUUAGGAAGAACACCGGUGGCGAAGGCGGCCCACUGGUCCGGUACUGACGCUGAGGUGCGAAAGCGUGGGGAGCGAACGGG
Molecule: ribosomal RNA, 253 nt
Filed under: uncultured bacterium
Lineage: Bacteria
Description: partial 16S ribosomal RNA
Rfam family: Bacterial small subunit ribosomal RNA
Source: RNAcentral